GACUAACGCUGGCGGCGUGCUUAACACAUGCAAGUCUAACGAGAAAGCGGUAGCAAUAUCGUGAGUAAAGUGGCGAACGGGUGAGUAACACGUAACCAAUCUGCCUUGAAGAGGAGGAAAACUGAGGGAAACUUUAGCUAAUCCUCCAUAAUGUGGUGCCUAUCGCAUGAGAACAUCAUUAAAGAUUUACUCGCUUCGGGAAGAGGUUGCGUCUGAUUAGCUAGUUGGCGGGGUAAAGGCCCACCAAGGCGACGAUCAGUAGCUGGUCUGAGAGGAUGAUCAGCCACACUGGGACUGAGAUACGGCCCAGACUCCUACGGGAGGCAGCAGUGAGGAAUAUUGCGCAAUGGGCGAAAGCCUGACGCAGCAACGCCGCGUGUAGGAUGAAGUAUUUCGGUAUGUAAACUUCGAAAGAAUAGGAAGAAUUAAUGACGGUACUAUUUAUAAGGUCCGGCUAACUACGUGCCAGCAGCCGCGGUAAGUGCGAC
Molecule: ribosomal RNA, 488 nt
Filed under: uncultured bacterium
Lineage: Bacteria
Description: bacterial SSU rRNA
Rfam family: Bacterial small subunit ribosomal RNA
Source: RNAcentral